RNAcentral lists this ribosomal RNA (506 nucleotides) under Anatis labiculata. Its description in RNAcentral is "partial 16S ribosomal RNA". It matches the Rfam family "Archaeal large subunit ribosomal RNA", at positions 1923 to 2671 of the family's 2987-position model. Lineage: Eukaryota; Metazoa; Arthropoda; Insecta; Coleoptera; Coccinellidae. The record is from RNAcentral.
UUUUUGAAAAUAAUUUAAAGUAGGGCCUGCCCMCUGAGAAUUUGAAGGGCCGCAGUAUUUUGACUGUGCAAAGGUAGCAUAAUCAUUAGUUUUUUAAUUGAAAGCUUGUAUGAAUGGUUUGAUGAGAAAAAAACUUUCUAUGAUUAAAUUUUUAAUAAUUUUAUUUUUAAGUUAAAAAGCUUAAAUUUUUAUAAUAGACGAGAAGACCCUAUAGAGUUUUAUUUUUAAAAAUUUUUAAAUUUUUAGUAUUUAAAAAUUAUAAUUUUUUUAAAAAUUUGAUUGGGGUGAUUAAAAAAUUAAACUAACUUUUUUUAUAUUUAAACAUAAAUUUAUGAAUUUUUGAUCCAUAUAAAUGAUUAAAAGAUUAAAUUACCUUAGGGAUAACAGCGUUAUUUUUUUUUAGAGUUCAAAUCGAAAAAAGGGAUUGCGACCUCGAUGUUGGAUUAAAGUUAAUUUUAGGUGCAGAAGCUUAAUUAUUUGGYCUGUUCRACCAUUAAAACUUUACA